GAAAUCUUAUAUUGAUGGGUUACUCGCAUUGUAAAUCUGUAAAAUAAUAAUCCACAAGAUUUGGGAUUAUCAUGUGGCUUACCAUGCCACGUAUUGACCAAGAUGUAUGUUACGUAAUGUGGAAGGAACAGAAAUGUGUGUAGUGAAGCAUGUAUUGACAAAGAAACGUAAGAACAAUGUACGCCGUGGAGAAAGGAUUCAAGGGUAUACAGACUCAGCAAGGCCUAUCCAGGAAGUCCACCCAAGCACAUGGAGCCUUUGCCUUCAGACCAAGAAUUAGCAGCCAGGCAGGACCGCCUCCUUUGCCAAUUACCAGCUACAAGGAGGUUCUUACCUUCGUUGACUUUUACACCGCCAGCUGCAAGGUGUACAUGAAUUUUGAUGAUGAAUGUGUAUGCCUGAUGUCCGAUAUCAUUUGAAAUUAAGGGAAACUAUUAACUUUGUGGACCACUUGAUGGUGUCACAUUUCACAGUGAGUAGUGCAAUUCAUGCGUGGGAAUUUAUUUGUGAUUUGUCAGCAGUGGCCAGCAGUUAUCAGCUCCAUUAGCCAUUUGCUCUCAGUUGCAAUUAGUGAGGAGAGUGUUCUGUCAUGGUGCGGUAUACUUUAGAACAACGUCUAUUUCUGUAUGACACCUAUGUGAAAUACAAAUCAGCUGGGAAGUGCCGGAAAAAAUUUAGACGUAAAUUUCCUAAUGAAGGAAGAGUUCCCAGCAGACAAACAAUUCACAAUUUGGUAAAAAAAGUUAGAUCAACGGGACUCUUAAUAGACAAGAAACAGAAACAUAAGCGUCGAGUGCUUACUGAGGAGAAGUUGGAUGACAUAGGAGCCAGACUUGAACGUACACCUAGAAAAUCUCUAAGAAGUCUAGCUCAGGAGACAGGAGUGUCAAAAUCUAGUGCAAGAACGGCAACACAAUUGCUGAAUCUUAGACCCAAUAAAACCACAGUAAUCCACACAUAUGUUGCAACCGCACGAUCCAGCUAGCAGGGUUCGUUUGUGCAGUUGGUUUCUACAGGCUGUUGUGGAAGGUGAGAUCGAUCCACAAUCGACAUUCUUUUCUGAUGAAGCGCUGUUUCACUUGCAGGGAUACAUAAACAGGCAAAAUAAUUGUUACUGAAUUUCAUACAAUCCACGAUUUCAAGCUCCAUCUAGUGAAAGUUGGUGUCUGGUGUGCUGUAAGUGUAAGGACUGUUGUGCCUGUGUUUUUUGAACAAAACAGUUAAUUGCCAAAGAUAUUUACAGGUCAUUCUCGGGGAGUUCUUUUCAGAGUUAAAAGAAGUACUCUAUGGCUGGUUCUAGCAAGACUCUCCUACUGCCCACACUGUGCUUGUGUUUAUGCAAGCUUUGUCCGACAUCUUCAGGGACGAUUAGCAGUGGUAUUUCGCCAGCAUGUUGACCUGAUCUUAGUCAUUGUGGUUUUUUCUUCUGGUGUUGUUUGAAGGACAGAGUAUACAACAGUAGACCCCCAAAGAGAAGAAGAACUUAAAGAAAAUAUUUGUAGGAAAAUUGCAAGUAUUCCUGCAGAGCAGAUUAAAGGGGUAAAUCAGAAUCUCUUCUGCUGGUGCAAGGAAUGUCUACAUGUAGAGGGACAGCAUUUUCAACACCUGUGAUCUUUGAAUGGUAACUAUUUCAUUCUGAAUGUUAUCGGCCAACAGACAUAUUGAUUCAUCAACAGAAUUUGUAUGCGCCUUACAGCUGGCUAGCGCCGAUCAUCGUGAAGUGCAGAGUCAUGAACCAGUCAACAAAGAUAAGAAGCUCCUUGUACCAUGAAACCAUUGACUGCAGACCAAGGAAGGAAGAACCAAGAGGAUCUGUGCCAGCAAUGAAGAAUCUUCUCAGUAAAGGCUGGGAAGGCAUCACUGAAGAAGUUGCAGGAUUCAGCCAGUGGAGCUUGCCUACUGAACUGAAUGGAGAGCCAACCAAAAUGCAGUACACGUUGAUGUGAAGUGACCUUAAAUGUGCAUCUGCGUAGUUGUGUUCUGGGACAUCAUUCCACCCAGGCCAGGGGAAGCUCAGAGGAAGAGGAAGAGGGAGCCAGUGUGACAAGGAGUCUUGAGAAGGCAUCAGUGAAGAAAUUGCUGUACCAGGUUACAAAGAAUGUGACUGAUCUUCAACUUCAGCAUGUAGCACUUAGGAAGUUCAUCAUCCCUGUGUAGUGCAACCAUUAUGAGCCCUUAUACUAAAGCUUGGGCAGGAUGCAUGACAAGGAUAUAGGCAUCAGAGAUGUUGGAUUAAAUUCAGAAUGGGGUCAAGGGUUUCCUGAAAAGGUUGGAGAGAACACAAGGAUGCUCAUGGAUGGCUUUGCACUGAGGAGGAUGUGUGUGGGUUCCCGCCAAAUUUUAUUUUCUACAAGAUAGUGCACAGCAAGUGCAAGAAGUAAGUGUGAAAUGAUACACGUAACA
Molecule: long non-coding RNA, 2403 nt
Organism: Cryptotermes secundus
Lineage: Eukaryota; Metazoa; Arthropoda; Insecta; Blattodea; Kalotermitidae
Exons: 6
Source: RefSeq, a predicted model, not a curated record